AAACCGGAGCUAAUACCGGAUAAUAUUUUGAACCGCAUGGUUCAAAAGUGAAAGACGGUCUUGCUGUCACUUAUAGAUGGAUCCGCGCUGCAUUAGCUAGUUGGUAAGGUAACGGCUUACCAAGGCAACGAUGCAUAGCCGACCUGAGAGGGUGAUCGGCCACACUGGAACUGAGACACGGUCCAGACUCCUACGGGAGGCAGCAGUAGGGAAUCUUCCGCAAUGGGCGAAAGCCUGACGGAGCAACGCCGCGUGAGUGAUGAAGGUCUUCGGAUCGUAAAACUCUGUUAUUAGGGAAGAACAUAUGUGUAAGUAACUGUGCACAUCUUGACGGUACCUAAUCAGAAAGCCACGGCUAACUACGUGCCAGCAGCCGCGGUAAUACGUAGGUGGCAAGCGUUAUCCGGAAUUAUUGGGCGUAAAGCGCGCGUAGGCGGUUUUUUAAGUCUGAUGUGAAAGCCCACGGCUCAACCGUGGAGGGUCAUUGGAAACUGGAAAACUUGAGUGCAGAAGAGGAAAGUGGAAUUCCAUGUGUAGCGGUGAAAUGCGCAGAGAUAUGGAGGAACACCAGUGGCGAAGGCGACUUUCUGGUCUGUAACUGACGCUGAUGUGCGAAAGCGUGGGGAUCAAACAGGAUUAGAUACCCUGGUAGUCCACGCCGUAAACGA
This 668-nucleotide ribosomal RNA is filed under the name Staphylococcus aureus. Its description in RNAcentral is "bacterial SSU rRNA". It matches the Rfam family "Bacterial small subunit ribosomal RNA", at positions 154 to 809 of the family's 1533-position model. The record is from RNAcentral. Lineage: Bacteria; Bacillati; Bacillota; Bacilli; Caryophanales; Staphylococcaceae.